GACGAACGCUGGCGGCGUGCCUAAUACAUGCAAGUAGAACGCACAGUUUAUACCGUAGCUUGCUACACCAUAAACUGUGAGUUGCGAACGGGUGAGUAACGCGUAGGUAACCUGCCUGGUAGCGGGGGAUAACUAUUGGAAACGAUAGCUAAUACCGCAUAAUAUUAAUUAUUGCAUGAUAAUUGAUUGAAAGAUGCAAUUGCAUCACUACCAGAUGGACCUGCGUUGUAUUAGCUAGUAGGUGAGGUAACGGCUCACCUAGGCGACGAUACAUAGCCGACCUGAGAGGGUGAUCGGCCACACUGGGACUGAGACACGGCACAGACUCCUACGGGAGGCAGCAGUAGGGAAUCUUCGGCAAUGGACGAAAGUCUGACCGAGCAACGCCGCGUGAGUGAAGAAGGUUUUCGGAUCGUAAAGCUCUGUUGUAAGAGAAGAACGGGUGUGAGAGUGGAAAGUUCACACUGUGACGGUAUCUUACCAGAAAGGGACGGCUAACUACGUG
This 505-nucleotide ribosomal RNA is filed under the name uncultured bacterium. RNAcentral's name for it is "partial 16S ribosomal RNA". It matches the Rfam family "Bacterial small subunit ribosomal RNA", at positions 28 to 507 of the family's 1533-position model. The record is from RNAcentral.